UCAGGAUAAACGCUGGCGGCGCACAUAAGACAUGCAAGUCGAACGAACUUAACCCUUUGUUUACAUUGGGAGCGGUUAGUGGCGGACUGGUGAGUAACACGUAAGCAGCCUGCCUAUUAGAGGGGAAUAACAGUGAGAAAUCAUUGCUAAUACCGCAUAUGCUCACAGUAUCACAUGAUACAGUGAGGAAAGGAGCAAUCCGCUAAUAGAUGGGCUUGCGUCUGAUUAGCUAGUUGGUGUGGUAACGGCCUACCAAGGCGACGAUCAGUAGCCGGACUGAGAGGUUGAACGGCCACAUUGGGACUGAGAUACGGCCCAGACUCCUACGGGAGGCAGCAGUCGGGAAUAUUGCGCAAUGGAGGAAACUCUGACGCAGUGACGCCGCGUAUAGGAAGAAGGUUUGCGGAUUGUAAACUAUUGUCGUAGGGA
Molecule: ribosomal RNA, 429 nt
Filed under: uncultured bacterium
Lineage: Bacteria
Description: bacterial SSU rRNA
Rfam family: Bacterial small subunit ribosomal RNA
Source: RNAcentral